RNAcentral lists this ribosomal RNA (426 nucleotides) under uncultured bacterium. RNAcentral's name for it is "bacterial SSU rRNA". It matches the Rfam family "Bacterial small subunit ribosomal RNA", at positions 355 to 796 of the family's 1533-position model. The record is from RNAcentral.
UAAGGAAUCUUCCACAAUGGGCGAAAGCCUGAUGGAGCAACGCCGCGUGCAGGAUGAAGGCCCUCGGGUCGUAAACUGCUUUUAUGAGUGAAGAAUAUGACGGUAACUCAUGAAUAAGCACCGGCUAACUACGUGCCAGCAGCCGCGGUCAUACGUAGGGUGCAAGCAUUAUCCGGAGUGACUGGGCGUAAAGAGUUGCGUAGGUGGUUAGUAAAGUGAAUAGUGAAACCUGGUGGCUCAACCAUACAGACUAUUAUUCAAACUCACUAACUCGAGAGUGGUAGAGGUAACUGGAAUUUCUAGUGUAGGAGUGAAAUCCGUAGAUAUUAGAAGGAACACCAAUGGCGUAGGCAGGUUACUGGACCAUUUCUGACACUGAGGCACGAAAGCGUGGGGAGCGAACCGGAUUAGAUACCCGCGUAGUCC